Molecule: non-coding RNA, 183 nt
Filed under: Zea mays
Lineage: Eukaryota; Viridiplantae; Streptophyta; Magnoliopsida; Poales; Poaceae
Description: Bacterial large subunit ribosomal RNA
Rfam family: Bacterial large subunit ribosomal RNA
Source: Rfam by way of RNAcentral
UGCGUUGAGGCGCAGCAGUUGACUGGGCAUCUAGGGGUAAAGCACUUUUUCGGUGUGGGCUGCGCGAGCGAUACCAAAUCGAGGCAAACUCUGAAUACUAAAUAUGACCCAAAAAUAACAAGGGUCAAGGUUGGCCAGUGAGACGAUGGGGGAUAAGCUUCAUCGUCGAGAGGGAAAUAACCC